GGCAGCACUACAUCAGAAGGUGUCUUGGAUCAUCCCUCAGGUGUGAACACUGCACCAGGAAGUGUCUUCAAUCGUGCCUGAGGUGUCAACACUGCACCAGGAGGUGUUUUUUAUCAUCCCUAAGGUGCAAGCACUGCACCAGGAGGUCUCUUGGAUUAUGCCUGAGGUUUGAACACUGCACCAGGAAGUGUCUUAUCAUCCCUAAAGUGUGAGCACUGCACCAGGACAUGUCUUGGGUCAUCCCUGAGGUGUGACCACUGCACCAGGAGGUAUCUCAAGUCAUGCCAGAGAUGUGAGCACUGCAUUAGAAGAUGUUUUGGAUCAUCCCUAAGGUGUGAGCACUGGACCAGGAGGUCUCUUGGAUCAUCCCUGAGUUGAGAGCACUGUUCCAAGAGGUGUCUUGGAUCAUGCCUGAGUGUGAGCACUGCACCACGUGGUUUUUUUGGAUCAUCCCUAGGUGUGAGCACUGCACCAGGAGGUAUCUUGGAUCAUGUCUGAGUUGUGAUCACUGCACCAGGAGGUGUCUUAAAUCAUAUCUGAGUUGUGAGCACUGCACCAAGAGGUGUUUUGGAGCAUCCCUGAGGUGUGAGCACUGCAUGAGGUGGUGUCUUGGAUCAUCCCUGUAGUGUGAAAACUGCACAAGGAGGUAUUUUCCAUCAUCCCUAAGGUGGGAGCACUACACCAAGAAGUGUGUUGGAUAAUGCUUGAGAUGUGAGCACUGCACCAGGAGGUGUCUUAGAUCAUGCCUGAGUGUGAGCACCUCACCAGGAUGUACCUUGCAUGAUGCCUGAGUUGUGUGGGCACUGCAUCAGGAUGUGUUUUGGAUCACCCUUGAGGUGUGAGCACUGUACCAGGAAUUGUCUUGGAUCAUCCCUGAGUGUGAGCACUACACCAGGAGGUGUUUGGGGUCAUCCAUAAGGUCUCAGCACCGCACCAGGUUUCUUGUAUUAUGCCUGAGUGUGAGCACUGCACCAGGAGAUAUUUUGAAUCAUGUCUGAGUUGUGAGCACUGCAUCAGGAGGUAUUUUGGAUCAUCCCUGAGGUGUGAGCAUUGCACCAGGAGGUGUCUUGGAUCAUCCCUGAGGUGUGAACAUUGCACCCAGAAGUGUCUUAUGUCAUGCCUGCAGUGUGAGCACUGCACCAGGAUAUCUAGGAUCAUCCCUGAAUUGUGAGCACUAAACCAGGAGGUGUCUUGAUUCAUCCCUGAGGUGUGAGCACCUCACCAGGAGGUAUCUUGGAUCAUCCCUGAGAUGUGAACACCUCACCAGGAAGUGUCUUGGAUCAUGUCUGAGUUGUGAGCACUGCACCAGGACGUGUCUUAAAUCAUCUCUGAGGUUUGAGCACUACACCAGGAGGUGUCUUAAAUCAUGCUGAAAAGUGACCACUGCACCAGGAGGCAUCUUGGAUCAUGUCUCAGUUGCAACAGGAGGUGUCUUGGAUCAUCCCUGUGGUAUAAGCACUGCACCAGAAGGUGUCUUGGAUCAACCCUGGGAUGGAGGCAGUGCACCAGAAGGUGUCUUGGAUCAUCCCUGAUGUGGGAGCACUGCAUCAGGAGAUCUCUUGGAUCAUCGCUGAGGUGUGAGCACUGCACCAGGAGGUAUCUGGAAUGAUUUUUGAGGAGAGUGUAGCGCACCAGGAGGUAUCUUGGAUCUACCCUGAGGUGUGAGCACUGCAACAGGAAGUGUCUUGGAUCAUCCCUGAGGUGUGAGCACUGCAACAGGAUGUGUCCUCAAUCAUCCAUGAAGGGGGAUCACUGCACCAGGAGGUGUCUUGUAUCAUUGCUGAGGUGGAAGCACUGCACAAGGAAGUGUCUUAGAUCAACCUGACUUGUGAGCACUGCACCAGAAGGUGUCUUGGAUCAUUGCUAAGAUGCAAGCAAUGCACCAGCAGAUGUCUCAGAUCGUCCUUUAGGUGGGAGCGCUACACGAGGGGUGUCUUGGAUCAUCCCUGAGGAGGGAGCACUACACCAGGAGGUGUCUUGGAUCAUUUCUGAGGUGCAGGCACUGCAUCAUGAGGUGUCUUGGAUCGUCGCUGAAGUGUAAGCACUGCACCAGGAGGUGUUGUGAAUCAUCGCUGAGGUGUGAGCACUGCACCAGUAGGUGUCUUGGAUCAUCCUUGGGGUGUGAACAUUGCAUCAGGAGAUGUCUCAGAUCAUCCCUGAGGUGCAGGCACUGUACCAGGAGGUAUCUUGAAUCAUUUCUGAGGUGCAGGUGCUGCACCAGGUGUCUUGAAUCAGCCCUGAGGUGUGAGCACUACACCAGGAGGUGUCUUGAUUCAUCCCUGAGGUGUGAGCACUGCACCAGGUGUCUUGAUUCAUCUCUGAGGUGUGAGCACUGCACCAGGAGCUGUCUUGAAUAACUUCUGAGGUGUGACCAUUGUACCAGGAGGUGUCCUGUAUCAUCCCUGUGGAGGGAGCACUGCACCAGAAGGUGUAUUGGAUCAUCCCUGAAGUGUGAACACUACAUCAAAAGGCAUCACGAAUCAUCCCUAAGGCUUGAGCACUGCACCAGGAGGUGUCUUUGAUCAUGCCUGAGAUGUAUGCACUGCACUAGGAGGUGUUUUGGAUCAUCCCUAGGUGGGAGCACUACCCCAAGAGGAGUCUUGGAUCAUCUUUGAGGUGGGAGUACCACACCACGAGGUGUCUUGGAUCAUCCCUGAGGUGGAAGCACUGCACCAGGAGUUGUCUUGGAUCAUUCCUGAGGUGUGAGUACUGCACCAGGAGGUAUCUUGUAUCAUCCCCGAGGUCAGAGCACUACACCAGGAGAUGUUUGGAUCAAACCUGACAUGUAGGCACCGCACCAGAAGGUCUCUUGGAUGAUGCCUGAAUUGUCAGCACUGCACCAGGAAGUGUAUUUUAUCAUCCUUGAGGUCAGAACACUGCACCAGCAAGUGUCUUGGAUUCUGCCUAAGGUGUGAGCACUGCACAAGCAGUUGUCUUGGCUCAUCCCUAAGAAGGGAGUACUGUGCCAGGGGGUGUCUUGGAUUAUGCCUGAGUUGUGAGCACUGUAUCAGGAGGUGUCUUGGAUCAGCCCUGAAUUGUGAGCACUGCACAAGGAGGUGUCUUGGAUCAUCCCUGAGGUGGGAGCACUGCACCAGGAGGUGUCUUCAAUCAUCCCUGAGGUGUGAGCACUGCACCAGGAGAUGUCUUGGAUCAUCCCUGAGGUAGGAUCACUACACCAGGAGGUUUCUUGGAUCAUUUCUGAAGUGUGAGCACUGCACCACAAGGUGUCUUGAAUCAUCCCUGAGGUAGGACCACUACACUAGGAGAUGUCUUGGGUCAUCCCUGAGGUGUGAGCACUGUACCAGGAGGUGUCUUGGAUCAUCCCUGAGGUGCAGUGAUAUGGUUUGGUCAUGUCCCCACCCAAAUCUCAUCUUGAAUUGUAGCUCCCAUAAUCCCCACAUGUCAUAGAAGGGACCCUGUGGGAGGUAACUGAAUCAUGGAGGGAGUUACCUCCAUGCUGUUUUCAUGACAGUGAGUGAGUUUUCAGAUCUGAUGGUUUUAUAAGGAGCUUUUCCCCCAUUUACUUGGCACUUCUCCUUCCUGCCAUCCUGUAAAGAAGGAUGUGUUUACUUCCUUCCACUUUGAUUGUAAGUUGUUUGAGGCCUCCUCAGCCCCACAGAACUAUGAGUCAUUUAAACCUUCUUUCUUUAUAAAUUACCCAGUCUUGGGCAGUUCUUUAUAGCAGUGUGAGAUCAGACUAAUAAACACCCCCAUGAUUUAAUUACCUCCCACCAGGUCCCUCCCAUGACACAUGGGGAUUAUGAGAACUACAAUUCAAGAUGAGAUUUGGGUGGGACACAGCCAAAACAUGUUAUUCCAUUCAUGGUCCCUUUAAAAUAUGUCCUCACAUUUCAAAACACAAUUAUGUACUUCCAACAGUCCCCCAAAGUCUUAAUUCAUUCCAUCAUUAUCCCCAAAGUCCAAAUCUAAAGUCUCAUCUGAGACAAGGCAAAUUCCUUCGCCUAUGAGCCUGUAAAAUCAAAAGUGAGUUAAUUACUUCCAAGAUACAAUGGAGAUACAGGCAUUGGACAAAUACACCCAUUCCAAAUGAGAGAAAUUGGCCAAAACAAAGAGGCUCCAGGCCCCACCCAAGUCCAAAAUCCAACAGGGCAGUAACCAAACCUUAAAGUUCCAGAAUAAUCUCCUUCAACUCCAUGUCUCACAUCAGGUCACGCUGAUGCAAGAGGUGGGCUCCCAUGGCCUUGGACUGCUUCACCCCUGUGGCUUUGCUUUCACAAGAUGGCAUUGAGUGUCUGAGGCAUUUCCAGGUGCACAGUGCAAGCUGUCAGCGGAUCUACCAUUCUGGGGUCUGAAGGACGGUGGCCCUCCUCUCACAGUUCAACCGGGCAGCACCCCCAUGGGGACUCCCUGUGGGGGCUCCAAUCCCACAUCUCCCUUCUUCAAUGCCCUAGCAGAGGUUCUCCAUGAGGGCUUUGCCCCUACAGCAGACUUCUGCCUGUACAUCCAGGUAUUUCCAUACAUCCUCUGAAAUCUAAGCUGAGGUUCCCAAACCUCAAUUCUUGACUCCUGUACACCCACAGGUCCAAGACCACGUGUAAGCCACCAAGGCUUGGGGCUUGCACCCUCUGAAGCAACAGCCUGAGCUCUAUGUUGGCCCCUUGAGCCACAGCUGGAACUCACUAUCACCAAAUCCCUAUACUACACAAAGCAGCAAGGCCCUAGGCCUAGCCCGUGAAACCCUUUUUUCCUCCUAGGCCUCUGGGCCUGUGAUGGGAGGGACUGCUGUGAAGAACUCUGACAUGCCCUGGAGACAGUUUCCCCAUUGUCUUGGUGAUUAACAUUUGGCUUUUCGUUACUGAUGCAAAUUUAUCUAGCUGGCUUGAAUUUCUUCUCCAAAAAUGGGUUUUUCUUUUCUAUCGCAUCAUCAGGCUGCAAAUUUUCCUAAGUUUUAUGUUCUGGUUCCCUUUUAAACAUAAGUUUUAAUUCCAAACCAUAUAUUUGUGAGUACAUAAAACUGAAUGCUUUUAACAGCACCCAAGUCACCUCUUGAAUGCUUUGCUGCUCAGAAAUUUCUUCUGCCAGAUACCCUAAAUCAUCUCUCUCAAGUUCAAAAUUCCACAGAUCUUUAGGGCAAGGGCAAAAUACUGCCAGUCUCUUUGCUAAAAUGUAGCAAGAGUCACCUUUAUUCCAGUUCCCAAAAAGUUCUUCAUCUCCAUCUGAGACCACCUCAGCCAGGACUUCAUUGUCCACAUCACUAUCAGCAUUUUGGUCAAAACCAUUAAACAAGUCUCUAGGAAGUUCCAACUUUCCUGGAAGACAUCUUCCUGUCUUCUUCUGAGCCCUCCAAACUGUUCCAACCUCUGCCUGUUACCCAGUUCCAAAGUCACUUCCACGUUUUUUAGUAUCUUUAUAGCAGCGCCCCACUACCCAGUAUCAAUUUACUGUUUUAUUCCAUUCUCAUGCUGCUAUGAAGAACUGCCUGAGACUGGGUAAUUUAUAAAGGAAAGAGGUUUAAAUUACUCACAGUUCUGCAGGGCUGGGGACGCCUCAGGAAACUUACAAUCAUGGCAGAAAGCAAAGGGGAAGCGGGCACGUCUUCAUGUGUCUGGAGAAGGAGGAAGAGAGCAAAGAGGGAGGUGCCACACACUUUCAAACAACCAGGUCUCCUGAGAACUCAUUCACCAUCACAAGAAUGCAAGGGGGAAAUCUGCCCCCAUGAUCCAAUCACCUCCAACCAGCCCACUUCCCCAACACUGGGAAUUACAAUUCGACAUGAGAUUUGGUUGGGGACACAGAGCCAAACUAUAUCAGUGCUUAACCUCAUUUGAGUUGUCACACGCAACCAGGAGGCUUGAAUAACCCACUGCUUCCAGACUAGAUGGCUUUCUGUGUGACCCCAAGAGAGACUCCCAGCCUCUGCUGAUUCCUAUGUAAAGUAUGGGUUGGAACUGGAUGGUAUCGUAGGUUCCUUUAGCUCCGUAUGAUUCUCAUGUAAAAUUCCACCCAGCAGUCAGGCAAGAGGUGCACUGGGGAGAGGAGGUGGAACCCCCAGGUUGUUGAUAAAAUCCUGAAAUCCCUUGGCUCUGUGCUUCAAACAGCCACCUUCCCAACAUCUAUGACUCUUUGAACUGCUCAUAAAGAGCGCUGAUUAAUGUGACACUUCACAUGCCCACCAUGAAAUUAGGAAGGCCCUUAGAUCUCCUUCAAACCCGCGGUGCCGGUGCCUUCGCCCCAUCAAUCAGAGAUGAAACUGUGAUUGUGCUGCAAGGAGACGAGGCCAUCCUGGAGUUCUGCCAUGAAAGAAUCGCUGGGACUCAAAGGAGGGGAAAACAAGGGAAGGAGAGAGGGGGAAAGGGAAAGAGAAGCUGCUUCCAGAAGGAAUAAAUUUGUGUGUGUACUUUGAUCCUGCUAUGAUUUUUAUUUGUUUUAGCCAC
RNAcentral lists this long non-coding RNA (6395 nucleotides) under Homo sapiens (human). RNAcentral's name for it is "non-protein coding lnc-PER2-7:3". Lineage: Eukaryota; Metazoa; Chordata; Mammalia; Primates; Hominidae. The record is from RNAcentral.